This 1038-nucleotide long non-coding RNA is filed under the name Sorghum bicolor (sorghum). RNAcentral's name for it is "long non-coding RNA (SBIC_LNC002607)". Lineage: Eukaryota; Viridiplantae; Streptophyta; Magnoliopsida; Poales; Poaceae. The record is from RNAcentral.
UUCCUUUUGAUUUCUCUCACUCAAUUUUGGUUAGUGGCACUCUGGCUGAAUUUUUAUUUUAGGGGACACACAGUAAUCUUCAUCAUCAAUGAGCACACGGGGGCGAAUGCUAUGCCCAUGAGCACCUCCUCCAUGUUGUCCACUAUGGCCAAAGAGACCACGACGAGAGUUGGCUGAGCUAUGUUGUUUAGCCCGACCGCGCACCACAGGAAGAUGUUCAUCAAACACCUUCUCCAUUACCUCCACUAGUGAGUUUUGUAGUUGGCGUAACUCAGCCCGCGAAACUGAUGUUUCUUUUUCUCUAUAUCAACCACCAUGAACGCUCGAAUUUGAUCCUGGCAUGUUAGCAAUUAUGCAAGAUAUAGUGGAAUGGGUAAAUUUGUGGAAUCACACAAUCUCACCUCUUACUUACCAAUGCUCUUUCCUGUUCUCAAGGACAGUGAAUUGUGCUAGUGUAGCAGCUCAACAGAAGUGAUUCUGAGUUCGCAAGGAUUACGAGUCAAAUGUCCUGGUUUCAGUUUUUGGUGGAGCUAUAGGUGGCUAAACAAGGGAGGCUACGGUACUGAAAAUCAAGUGGUUUGAUGUGGUCAAAAGAUAUAAUGUUGCUGGUAUAUAAAUCCCCAAGAAUCUGAAUAUGUAAACUAAAUUUUCAGUGAGCAAACCGCAAUAUAACCCCUUUCCUCUUCUUUUACUUUUCUUUUGGACCUUUCUAUCUCUGUUUUUUUUCUCUGAACUUUUUUUGCUCUGAUUUUUAACUAUUUUUUUACUAACAGGGGUGUGGAUACAAAUGAAACACGAUACAAAAUAUGUAAAGAUGGUGACUAGCAACUUGAUGAACACAAAAACACAAGAUAACAGUAUCGACAAAGGUCUAUAGGAUUUUUUUGUGGCUUUUUCAGUGGACUAUAGGUGAUGAACAAAUCAGUAACAAACGAUAUAUAAACUAAGGUAGAUAUGUGGAUGAUUGUGAGACCUACCGUGACAACGAAAUCUUUGAUACUAGUUGAUAGGAUACCAAUAUGAAUCGGCACGAGGGUG